RNAcentral lists this ribosomal RNA (34 nucleotides) under Myelochroa leucotyliza. Its description in RNAcentral is "partial 28S ribosomal RNA". The record is from RNAcentral. Lineage: Eukaryota; Fungi; Ascomycota; Lecanoromycetes; Lecanorales; Parmeliaceae.
AUUGACCUCGGAUCAGGUAGGGAUACCCCGCUGA